Molecule: ribosomal RNA, 505 nt
Filed under: uncultured bacterium
Lineage: Bacteria
Description: partial 16S ribosomal RNA
Rfam family: Bacterial small subunit ribosomal RNA
Source: RNAcentral
GACGAACGCUGGCGGCGUGCCUAAUACAUGCAAGUAGAACGCACAGUUUAUACCGUAGCUUGCUACACCAUAGACUGUGAGUUGCGAACGGGUGAGUAACGCGUAGGUAACCUGCCUGGUAGCGGGGGAUAACUAUUGGAAACGAUAGCUAAUACCGCAUAAUAUUAAUUAUUGCAUGAUAAUUAAUUGAAAGGUGCAAUUGCACCACUACCAGAUGGACCUGCGUUGUAUUAGCUAGUAGGUGAGGUAACGGCUCACCUAGGCGACGAUACAUAGCCGACCGGAGAGGGUGAUCGGCCACACUGGGACUUAGUCACGGCCCAGACUCCUACGGGAGGCAGCAGUAGGGAAUCUGCGGCAAUGGACGAAAGUCUGACCGAGCAACGCCGCGUGAGUGAAGAAGGUUUUCGGAUCGUAAAGCUCUGUUGUAAGAGAAGAACGGGUGUGAGAGUGGAAAGUUCACACUGUGACGGUAUCUUACCAGAAAGGGACGGCUAACUACGUG